ACGGGUGGGGGUCCUCCACCAAAAGAGUCCCUGACGUCACUCGAAGAGCAGCUUGCCUCCAUGAUUGGGCAAACUGCAACGAGUGGCAUACAAGGCACGGAAGAGUUUGGUGUUAGCAGGCCACCCUCUCCAGCCCCAGUGAAUACGGCCGACGUGGAGGUGGCCGCUGCUGAGUGUGAAGUUCAGGCAGAAGGCACGGAGCAUGUUACUUCAUCAAGUGAGUUCCAAUUGCCAGAAAUGCCGGGGCCACCAACAGAACUCCCAGAUUCAUCCGCCAGGGAUAGGAAUGGGAGGAGACGACGGCAACGCCAGCAGAGGCAGCGGCGAGCCCAUACUCCUCAUGACUAUGGACAAAUGUUCUUGACACAGCAGAGGCUGCAACAGGAGACACUAGCAUCCCUUGCUGGAUAUCUUGAGCGCAUAGCUGCAGCUACAGAGAGACAGACUGCAGUACUGGAGGCAUUUUAUUCAAGUGUAACUUUUCAUUCAAUGUAGUAAGUGGUGUGCAUCCAUUUACAACACAUGUUUGAGCAAUGUAACAGAAGAG
Molecule: long non-coding RNA, 547 nt
Organism: Ornithodoros turicata
Lineage: Eukaryota; Metazoa; Arthropoda; Arachnida; Ixodida; Argasidae
Exons: 3
Source: RefSeq, a predicted model, not a curated record